AUUGAACGCUGGCGGCAGGCUUAACACAUGCAAGUCGAGCGGGGGGAGGUAGCUUGCUACCGGACCUAGCGGCGGACGGGUGAGUAAUGCUUAGGAACCUGCCUAUUAGUGGGGGACAACAUCUCGAAAGGGAUGCUAAUACCGCAUACGUCCUACGGGAGAAAGCAGGGGAUCUUCGGAUCUUGCGCUAAUAGAUGAGCCUAAGUCGGAUUAGCUAGUUGGUGGGGUAAAGGCCUACCAAGGCGACGAUCUGUAGCGGGUCUGAGAGGAUGAACCGCGAAACUGGGACUGAGACACGGCCCAGACUCCUACGGGAGGUAGCAGUGGGGAAUAUUGGAAAAUGGGGGGAACCCUGAUCCAGCCAUGCCGCGUGUGUGAAGAAGGCCUUAUGGUUGUAAAGCACUUUAAGCGAGGAGGAGGCUACUUUAGUUAAUACCUAGAGAUAGUGGACGUUACUCGCAGAAUAAGCACCGGCUAACUCUGUGCCAGCCGCCGCAGUAA
This 501-nucleotide ribosomal RNA is filed under the name uncultured bacterium. RNAcentral's name for it is "partial 16S ribosomal RNA". It matches the Rfam family "Bacterial small subunit ribosomal RNA", at positions 30 to 523 of the family's 1533-position model. The record is from RNAcentral.